GUCGUCGCUUCAUUCGCUGUUCUCCUUCCUGCUCUGAUUCUUUGGCUAAUUCGGAAAAAAAGAGCCGGUGUCAGAAGAGCGACUGAUGACUCUGUGGAGCAGACAGAUGAUGUGACUUAUACUCAAGUUACUGUGAACAAGAAAAACAGAGACAAAAAGAACAAGGUUCGCUGUGAUGAUAAAGUGACUUACGCUUCCAUCAGAGGAGCAGAAGCUGGAGCUCAGGAAAACUGCAGUCAAAUUUAUGCCUCUGUGAACAAGAACCAUCACAAAUCAGACAAAUAAUUAUACAAAACCACAUAUUAUAUACUUGACUCCUAAUGUUUUUUUUAGUGCCAUUAUAUAUACUUUCAGUGUCUUUUACAUAUUAGGAAACAAGCUCUUGUUUAUUUGUAGUUAUUGGUUGUUCUGGUCAUUUUGUCAUGUUAUUUUGUACAGUAUCUGUCUGUGUGUCUUUAUU
Long non-coding RNA from Labeo rohita (rohu), 460 nucleotides. RefSeq lists it as uncharacterized. The transcript has 4 exons. The record is from RefSeq and is a predicted model, not a curated record. Lineage: Eukaryota; Metazoa; Chordata; Actinopteri; Cypriniformes; Cyprinidae.